RNAcentral lists this transfer RNA (63 nucleotides) under Lophops carinata. RNAcentral describes it as "tRNA-Phe". Lineage: Eukaryota; Metazoa; Arthropoda; Insecta; Hemiptera; Lophopidae. The record is from RNAcentral.
UAAGUAGCUUAAUUUUAAAGUUUAAUGUUGAAACCAUUAAGAUUGAUUUAUAAUCCUUAAAUA